CGGUUAUACGACGUCAUUAGUGGCUUCCGCUUCCGGUAAGAACAGAAACGUUUAAACGAAGAUUGUAGAAAGAAACCAUGCACACAUUCCACACAGGGAUCCCUCACAGUGAAGCAUGAGGAUCAGAGUACAGCUGGACUGUAGAAGUCUCUUUCUCCUACCCAGUCAACAGAAAACACGUUCACACACAUCUAUGGAAAAGUUUUCCCAUACUUCUGUAAUCUGGAUGAAGACCUAAACCACCCUCUGAAGCUGCUACCAGAGUAUGUCUCUGUAGGUAAGUGGGAGCGUCCAUUCGACAGGCGUCACACCGUCAAUGGCGUUUCCACGUGAACGGGUCGUCGAGUGUGAAAGUUCCCAUGAUGUUCCGUGAAGUCUACAGAGCUGAGGAAGCUGUAUGAUGCUAACUGUUCCACCACAGUGCUGUGGCUAUCCUACUCCUCCUUCCUCCCCUGACCCCCUCCACCAGGCCUCCCCAGGCUGGCCUCCCUCCUGCUGCCCAAGGGAGAGGUUCAGCUCCUGGAGGGGUGUCUCUCUGCAGCCAGGAUGGACUUUUGGCUCCAACCUGAAUCCUGGGUACACUGGCCUCGACUCUCCUCAAAGGAGGGAGCAAGUGGGUGUAUGUUUGUUCGAGUGUGUGGGUGAAUGGGUGUCUCUGUUUGUGUGGGCAGGUGGAUGGAUUUGUGUAUGUGUUUCUGUGUGUGUAAAUGUGCACGUGAAUGCGUGGGUUUGAAUUGUGGGUGUGUGUUUGUUGGUGGGUGUAUAUUGAUUGAUGGUGUGCUGUGUUCAGGGACCUUUUCUACAGACCCACUCGUGUCACGAGGUGCGUGUUGUUUAGCAGAAUGAUGAAUUGUGCUGAGCUGAUCCCGAGUCAGCAAUAAUUACUUAUUUCUGCUUCAGUAAGCGUCAAGUCGCCUACCACAUGGGCUCAUGCAAUAACAAGACAGCUUUCUAAACACAAUCCAUUAACACAUUGAUUGGUAUUUUUACACAGCCAGUUAUAAAUCCGCUUCCCAAAGUUCCUCAUGAAGAAAUGCUGCAGUUUGUGAAGUCUACUGAAAGCGUUUGGGGUAUCAGCUGACUUCUCUGGGGUUUCUUUAAAGAAUUCCCUGAAACUCAUUCAGGUAGGAGGAUAACUGGAAAGCUUUGACGUGACAAUACAUAAAGAUUGUUAUAGUUGGAAAAAACUGCUUAUUUGCUAUUUAAUCAGGAUAAGGAAUUCUUACAACCAACAAAGUUCUGCUUAGUACAAGUGUAUCAGAAAGUAUUUGGGGCAGAGAUUAGACUUUCCCUCAGUUUGUAUUUGUAUUUAUUAUGCUGCCAAGGCAGCAGCUACUCUUCCUGGGGUCCAGCAAAAUUAAGGCAUUUAUACUAUUUCUGAAACAUUACAAUACAUUUACAGAUUUCACAACACACUGUGUGCCCUCAAGCCCCUACUCCACCACUACCACAUAUCUACAAUACAAAAUCCACGUGUACGUGUGUGUGUGUGUGUAUGCAUGUGUCUGUGCCUAUUUGUGUUGACCUCUUGCACCAAAUCUUCUCAGCACAUCUCUCUCCCCCCCUCUCUCUCUGGGCUCCAGAGGUGGAUGAGACUGAGUCAGAGGGGGAGGGGAGUUUGGACAUCGCCCUGGACUUCUAUGUCCCUUCCAGGAUUACUUUCGACAGGCCAUUUAUGCUUAUAGUGUAUGAUGAGCUCACAGGCCUCAUCCUGCUCAUAGGGACAAUCAUGGACCCGACAGAAAUAUAACAUCCUCAGUAUUUUGUGUCACUCAUACCAUUGUUUGUGUCCGUUUGGUGAUCAUAAGAUGAAGAAUUAUUUUCAGAUCAUGGAAAAUUGUCUUUUUGCUUUUGAAUAUGUACCCUGUGAUAUAAACUUGAGAAAUGUUGCAUCGGAAACUAUAUUUGUGGACUGUCUGUGCCUUUGAAAUGGAUACUUUGAAGCGUAUGUUUUGAUCAUUAAAAUCGGAUUUAGAAACCA
Molecule: long non-coding RNA, 1981 nt
Organism: Salmo salar (Atlantic salmon)
Lineage: Eukaryota; Metazoa; Chordata; Actinopteri; Salmoniformes; Salmonidae
Source: RefSeq, a predicted model, not a curated record